GUCCACGCCCUAAACGAUGUCAACUGGGUGUUGGGGAGCGAUUCCUCAGUACCGUAGCUAACGCGUGAAGUUGACCGCCUGGGGAGUACGGCCGCAAGGUUAAAACUCAAAGGAAUUGACGGGGACCCGCACAAGCGGUGGAUGAUGUGGAUUAAUUCGAUGCAACGCGAACAACCUUACCUACCCUUGACAUAUCCGGAAGCCCGCUGAAAGGCGGGUGUGCCCGAAAGGGAAUCGGAACACAGGUGCUGCAUGGCUGUAGU
Molecule: ribosomal RNA, 263 nt
Filed under: uncultured bacterium
Lineage: Bacteria
Description: partial 16S ribosomal RNA
Rfam family: Bacterial small subunit ribosomal RNA
Source: RNAcentral